RNAcentral lists this ribosomal RNA (477 nucleotides) under Candidatus Scalindua wagneri. RNAcentral describes it as "bacterial SSU rRNA". It matches the Rfam family "Bacterial small subunit ribosomal RNA", at positions 365 to 832 of the family's 1533-position model. The record is from RNAcentral. Lineage: Bacteria; Pseudomonadati; Planctomycetota; Candidatus Brocadiia; Candidatus Brocadiales; Candidatus Scalinduaceae. RNAcentral also lists the same sequence under 1 other name.
UUCGCAAUGCCCGAAAGGGUGACGAAGCGACGCCGCGUGAGCGAAGAAGGCCCUAGGGUUGUAAAGCUCUGUCGAGGGUUAUGAAAUAUAGAUGGGUUAAUACCCCAUUUAUUUGACAAAAGCCCAAAAGGAAGCCACGGCUAACUCUGUGCCAGCAGCCGCGGUAAUACAGAGGUGGCAAGCGUUGUUCGGAAUUAUUGGGCGUAAAGAGCACGUAGGUGGGUUUGUAAGUCAGAUGUGAAAGCCUUCUGUUCAACGGAAGAAUUGCAUCUGAAACUGCAAGUCUUGAGUGUAGGAGGGGAGAAUGGAACUUCUGGUGGAGCGGUGAAAUGCGUAGAUAUCAGAAGGAACGUCGGCGGCGAAAGCGACUCUCUGGCCUAUUACUGACACUGAGUGUGCGAAAGUUAGGGGAGCAAACGGGAUUAGAUACCCCGGUAGUCCUAACUGUAAACGAUGGGCACUAAGUAGAGGGGUUUU